This 472-nucleotide ribosomal RNA is filed under the name Veillonella parvula. RNAcentral's name for it is "bacterial SSU rRNA". It matches the Rfam family "Bacterial small subunit ribosomal RNA", at positions 28 to 477 of the family's 1533-position model. Lineage: Bacteria; Bacillati; Bacillota; Negativicutes; Veillonellales; Veillonellaceae. The record is from RNAcentral.
GACGAACGCUGGCGGCGUGCUUAACACAUGCAAGUCGAACGAAGAGCGAUGGAAGCUUGCUUCUAUCAAUCUUAGUGGCGAACGGGUGAGUAACGCGUAAUCAACCUGCCCUUCAGAGGGGGACAACAGUUGGAAACGACUGCUAAUACCGCAUACGAUUUAAUCUCGGCAUCGAGGAUAGAUGAAAGGUGGCCUCUACAUGUAAGCUAUCACUGAAGGAGGGGAUUGCGUCUGAUUAGCUAGUUGGAGGGGUAACGGCCCACCAAGGCGAUGAUCAGUAGCCGGUCUGAGAGGAUGAACGGCCACAUUGGGACUGAGACACGGCCCAGACUCCUACGGGAGGCAGCAGUGGGGAAUCUUCCGCAAUGGACGAAAGUCUGACGGAGCAACGCCGCGUGAGUGAUGACGGCCUUCGGGUUGUAAAGCUCUGUUAAUCGGGACGAAAGGCCUUCUUGCGAAUAGUCAGAAGGAU